CCCAGAUCGUUUACCGUGAAAAAAUUAGAGUGUUCAAAGCGGGCAGAUACUUUUUCCUGCCACCGAAUACAUUACGCAUGGGAUAAUGGAAUAGGACCCUGACCUCCUAUUUUCAGUUGGUUUUGUUUACAGCGAGGUUCAUAUCAGGGUAAUGAUUAAUAGGGAUAGUUGGGGGCAUUAAUAUUUAAUUGUCAGAGGUGAAAUUCUUGGAUUUAUGAAAGAUUAACUUCUGCGAAAGCGUUUGCCAAGGAUGUUUUCAUUAAUCAAGAACGAAAGUUAGGGGAUCGAAGACGAUCAGAUACCGUCGUAGUCUUAACCAUAAACGAUGCCGACCAGCGAUUAGGAGACGUUGAAUACAAAACACCGCUGUUAAUCCUUUCGGGGGUUAAUAGUUGGUGAAUGACUCCCCUAGCAGCUUGUGAGA
RNAcentral lists this ribosomal RNA (424 nucleotides) under Acanthamoeba lenticulata. RNAcentral describes it as "SSU rRNA". It matches the Rfam family "Eukaryotic small subunit ribosomal RNA", at positions 742 to 1095 of the family's 1831-position model. Lineage: Eukaryota; Discosea; Longamoebia; Acanthamoebidae. The record is from RNAcentral.